CCUACGGGAGGCUGCAGUGGGGAAUAUUGGACAAUGGGCGAAAGCCUGAUCCAGCCAUGCCGCGUGUGUGAAGAAGGCCUUCGGGUUGUAAAGCACUUUCAGUGGGGAAGAAAGCCUUGGGGCUAAUACCCUCGAGGAAGGACAUCACCCACAGAAGAAGCACCGGCUAACUCCGUGCCAGCAGCCGCGGUAAUACGGAGGGUGCGAGCGUUAAUCGGAAUUACUGGGCGUAAAGCGCGCGUAGGCGGUCUGAUAAGCCGGUUGUGAAAGCCCCGGGCUCAACCUGGGAACGGCAUCCGGAACGGGCAGGCUAGAGUGCAGGAGAGGAAGGUAGAAUUCCCGGUGUAGCGGUGAAAUGCGUAGAGAUCGGGAGGAAUACCAGUGGCGAAGGCGGCCUUCUGGACUGAAACUGACGCUGAGGUGCGAAAGCGUGGGUAGCAAACAGGAUUAGAUACCCGUGUAGUC
This 465-nucleotide ribosomal RNA is filed under the name Vreelandella stevensii. Its description in RNAcentral is "partial 16S ribosomal RNA". It matches the Rfam family "Bacterial small subunit ribosomal RNA", at positions 338 to 795 of the family's 1533-position model. The record is from RNAcentral. Lineage: Bacteria; Pseudomonadati; Pseudomonadota; Gammaproteobacteria; Oceanospirillales; Halomonadaceae.